This 25-nucleotide non-coding RNA is filed under the name Mus musculus (house mouse). Lineage: Eukaryota; Metazoa; Chordata; Mammalia; Rodentia; Muridae. The record is from RNAcentral.
UAGAUUUGAUGCGUCUGACCUGGAA